GCGAUGGCUUGCAGGCUGGCGGGGUCGCAACUUUUUGGCGCCUUCAAGCACGUUCACCCGCGUCGCAGUGCGCCGUUGGCACUGCUGCGAUCGUUUUGCGUGUCCGCCUACAGCAAUGGCGUCGGAAAGCACACGGGAACGCACGAAAUCAUUCUCACGAAGCAGCGCGCCCAGGACUUGAUCGUGAGACUCAAGCCCGAAGAGAGGAAGAUUCUCAUGGAAGAGCUGACGAUACACGUUGAGAAAACCGAGCAGAAUGGGAAAGGGACGAUGCCCACAGCUGCCCAGCUGAGGAUGAUAGCCAUUCACAAUGCCCUGCCAUUCUUGGGAUUUGGGUUCCUUGACAACUUCAUCAUGAUUGUAGCGGGUGACUACAUUGACACCACCAUUGGCAUUGGACUGGGCAUUUCAACAAUGGCAGCUGCCGGCCUGGGGAAUGCCAUAUCAGAUGCUGCUGGAAUCGGGUCUGCCUGGUACGUGGAGAAACUAGCAGUCAAGGUUGGUGUCCAGGCUCCGAGCCUGAGCCCUGCUCAGCUGGAAAUGGCUGCCACCCGAUGGAGUGCCAACAUUGGAAGAGCUGUUGGUGUCUUCCUGGGCUGCAUUUUGGGCAUGUUCCCGUUGUUGUUUCUCUCGUCGAAAGAGGACAUGAGGCAGAGAUCAGAAGGUCGCCAGUCGCAAGACAAGACGUCUACCAGUUGAGCUUCACUGCCAUCUCUCACCUUCUGCCGAACCUCCCGCCAAAGAAUGUUGACUUCCUGAGCGCUGCCUAAUCUAUCCGGCCUGCACGUCCAGCCUUCCUUCAACUGGGAAGCAUAUAGACUAUUACGCACCUCUCUGCCUUUCUUCUUGGCUGCUGGUGUCUCGUGGGCGGUGGGAGACCACUGACUGCAAGGCAUGCCGUAACUGACACUGUCUAUGAACUCUCUAUGUUUAAUAACGUCUUGUGAUCUCUGUGACAAGCCGUCUUGAUUGUGCACGUGUUUUAUGUGCCCACAUGUGCAGUGAUAUUGGUAACCUGUCAACAGCCAGCCUUGUCUCCAAGCUGCUGUCGUGUCUUUGGUAAGCGCAGGUCAGCUCAAGCUAGCUCUUGCAGGUCUCAUUGGCGUAACGCUCCCGGCCAAGCUGUUUUUUCCGCGAGUUGUUCAGAAUGAUGAUGGUUAAUCUCGCCCACAAAACAGGCGUGCCUGUUGCUUGGCCGGGUGUGCAUUGGUUCCAUUGUGGUAGCCGCUUGUAUGGGAAUGACGGGUUGUGGUUCACGCUGCGCAAAUUGUAAUGUGGUGAUAUUUGAACUGAAGGCUUUGAGCUGGUCUGUCAUCUUAUGUGUUGUUGAACACUGAAGGUUAACAUUUUCCACCAUUGCAUGUACUUAAAGCAUGAAUGCCUCUUGCAGACUGCCUAUCAUACUGAACUCUUGCAUGACUACGUGUGUGCUCCACAAGAGAUGUUUUGUCUCUCCAGAUUAGGUUGUGGCGCUAUUAGCUUACCAAUAGCAUAAUCAAAUCUAGGCACCGACAUAGAACAGCAUAGUAUAGGUAGCAGGAAAAGGUAUGAGUUCAUGAAACACCAGAUGCUAUUGUCCAUAUUUUACAUAUUUCCUCACUCUCUGAGGGCUACUGGGCAGUCAACCUCUUAGGCCACUGGUGUUGCAUUCAGUACAUUGAGUGCGGAAUUGUAAUGCCAUGGAAUCCAAAGCUGUGCAGCAUCUAGAAGUAACCAUCAGUUUAGGUAAUAUAUAGUGUAAUGUUGAGCAUGUUCUCUUAGCUUAUGUGACCAACUAGAUAUAGCUAUUAGCUCAGGUGCACUUUUCACUGUAAUGUUUACCAUUCAUGUUCACCUGUUCUAACCAUAUUUUAGGUUUCUUUGUGGCUUGCAUGUAGAAGGCCACUGAUUGAUUGGCCCAUGUAUCCUAGUGGUAAUAACUGCACUAGUCCUUUACAUAUUUUUUACCCUGUAAGAUAUUUGGGCUGAAUCGGUCAGCAACCCUAGCUGCCAUCUAAGCGACGGUGUGAAACUAUCGUCAACUAGUGACCUUUAAAAACUAUUCCAAGAGACGCCCCGGCUAACAUAUUCUCAAAUGUGGUGGAACAUGGCUGCUAUUUUUGUAUUGCCUUACGAUUACUUCUGCAGUGUACAGGAACAACUCAUUGAUGAAAUGUGCGUAAAAGCUAUUGAGAUUCCUGGCAUUUGAAAGAGAAACAUGUGGGUGUUUGCGCCACUGAUGCAUUUGUGAGGCUUAAACUUAAGUCUGUGGAUUCUUAACUAAUGUGGCUUGUUGGUUGGGUGUACAUCUGUCGUAUGAGUAGGGACAUACUGUAUCCAGGGCUGGCAUUUUCUAGCGAUGCUUUCUUCAAUGCUAUUCCUAUUUGGACUUCGUCAGUGGUCGGAACAAUGCUCUGCCCAUAUUGUCAGUGGUAUCAGCUGGCCAUGAACGGGAAGUGAUAAGUGCGGUAAUAAUCGCUGGAAAAUUGUGGCCUACGCCUCUAAAGGUCAUCCCAUUAUAAACAUUUCAUGUAGGACCAAUACUACAUCAAAAUCUGACAAGCUUAUGUGAUCAAAAAUGUAAGUACUGUUGUGAAAUGUCGCCUCACCUGGGAUUCAAGGAAUGAGGCAAUUAGCAUUGGAAGACACAUCAGAGCGACAGACUGAAAGUUGUUUCUUGUACAUAGAAGGGCAAUCUGUCUGUUAACUACUUAAAAGUGGUCACAACUAUGUGAAUACGCCAGCUACAGUAGGUUGCCUCAAUUUAGAAAUGGAACACAGCACGAAAUGAAGAGGAUCAGUGCCCAUUCUCAAUAUUUCAUGUUGUAUAUCAUAUUUAGCAUGG
Molecule: unclassified non-coding RNA, 2824 nt
Filed under: Dermacentor andersoni
Lineage: Eukaryota; Metazoa; Arthropoda; Arachnida; Ixodida; Ixodidae
Description: transmembrane protein 65-like
Source: RNAcentral